Molecule: non-coding RNA, 73 nt
Organism: Trichonephila clavipes
Lineage: Eukaryota; Metazoa; Arthropoda; Arachnida; Araneae; Nephilidae
Source: the annotation of a GenBank genome assembly
GUCUCUGUAUUGCAAUGGACAGCGCGUUGGACUUCUCAUCCAAAGGCCGUGAGUUCGAAUCCCACCUGGGAUG